RNAcentral lists this ribosomal RNA (459 nucleotides) under uncultured bacterium. Its description in RNAcentral is "partial 16S ribosomal RNA". It matches the Rfam family "Bacterial small subunit ribosomal RNA", at positions 338 to 795 of the family's 1533-position model. The record is from RNAcentral.
CCUACGGGAGGCAGCAGUGAGGAAUAUUGGUCAAUGGUCGGGAGACUGAACCAGCCAAGCCGCGUGAGGGAGGAAGGUACAGAGUAUCGUAAACCUCUUUUGUCAGGGAACAAAGGCGGGGACGUGUCCCCGGAUGAGUGUACCUGAGGAAAAAGCAUCGGCUAACUCCGUGCCAGCACCCGCGGUAAUACGGAGGAUGCGAGCGUUAUCCGGAUUUAUUGGGGUUAAAGGGUGGGCAGGCGGUAUGUUAAGUCAGCGGGCAAGGCCAGUGGCUCAACCCCGGCCCGCCGUUGAAACUGGCAGUCUCGAGUGGGAGAGAAGUAUGCGGAAUGCGCGGUGUAGCGGUGAAAUGCAUAGAUAUCGCGCAGAACUCCGAUUGCGAAGGCAGCAUGCCGGCUCCACACUGACGCUGAGGAACGAAAGCGUGGGUAUCGAACAGGAUUAGAUACCCUUGUAGUC